Molecule: long non-coding RNA, 683 nt
Organism: Eupeodes corollae
Lineage: Eukaryota; Metazoa; Arthropoda; Insecta; Diptera; Syrphidae
Exons: 3
Source: RefSeq, a predicted model, not a curated record
CUCAGAUAAAGAAGAAACCAUGGAGAAUGUUGCAACAGAAGAAGUGGAAUUAUCUGAAGGAAGCCACCAAAGCUAAAAUUGUAUCUAUUCUGGAACGAAAAAUCAUCGGCCACGAAGAGGUACAAAUGCAAGAUAAUUGAUAGUCAUAGGUUCUUUUGUCCCCAAUUUUUAACCCAACUGAAGGAAUGAGAAGAACCGAUUAGAGCGAAGAGGUAGAUAUUGCAGAAGACUGAAAAGCUUCGCGAUGAAACCGGACUGACAUGCUUUAUUCGUUGAGAAGGAUAUACAUGUCAAAAAUCGCAGGCACGUCAUGUGUCACCAUCUGUGCAAUGCAAAGUACUUCUUAAAGCCAGCGACCGACAGGCGAAGGAUUGCAGUCUACACAAGCCCUUCGUCAUGAUGAUGAUUUAAUCGUUAAUUCACUAUAAUCAAGAGUAUGAUGAAGUGAAGCUUAAGGGAAGUAUCCGGUAAGAAUAUUUUUAUAAAUAAUAAAAUAGGAACUAUCUUAAUUUUUUCUCUCUUUUUAUUGUACGUCUUCGAACUUAACUUAAAUGCCUUCCAAUUCAUCUAUGAUAUAUUGCUGUAGAUGCCGUCAACAUAUUCAAUUCAUUUCAAACCUAACUCCAAGAAUUACUUCAUCAAUUUAGUUUUUUUAAAUAUUACUUUUUUUUUAAAUAGAAGGC